AAACUUGGGCUAAUACCGGAUGUGUGUAGUGGCUAUUUUUCUGAUUAUCAUUAUUUACGUAAGUGAGUAAUAAUAAGAAGGGAAAGUGCGUUAUUACAUAAAAGGUGGCGUAACUGCCGCUUGGGGAUGAGCCUUGCGUUCCUUAUUUAGUUAGUUUGGUGAGGUAACGGCUUUACCAAGGCGAUGAUAGGUAGGCGGCCUUAACGGGUGGUCGCCCACACUUGGGAUUUGAGAUUACGGCCCAGACUUCCUUACGGGAGGCAGCAGUUCGAGAAUAGUUCUACAAUGGACGGAAGUCUGAUAGUGCGACGCCGCGUGAACGAAGAAUCCCUUCGGGGUGUAAAGUUCUUUUAUACGUGAGCAGUGUCCUUUAUAUUAAUAGUAUAAGGGGAGAGAUAUUAGCGUAUGAAUAAGCAACGGCUAACUCCGUGCCAGCAGCCGCGGUAACACGGGGGUUGCGAGCGUUGUCCGGAAUUACUAGGCGUAAAGUGCAGGUAGGCGGAUAAAUAAGUUUAAGGUUAAAGGCUACGGCUUACCCGUAGUAAGGCGUUAGAUACUGUUUAUCUGGAAUGCGGUUGAGGGAGACAGAAUUCCUGGUGUAGCGGUGGAAUGCGCAGAGAUCAGGAGGAAUACCGAAGGCGAAGGCAGUCUUCUAAGCCGAUAUUGACGCUAAACUGCGAAGGUGUGGGGAUCAAACAGGAUUAGAUACCCUGGUAGUCCACACAGUAAACGAUAAUCACUAGGUGUUGGGUUCUUAAGAGGAUUCAGUGCCGGAGUAACGCGAUAAGUGAUUCGCCUGGGGAGUACGAUCGCAAGGUUGAAACUCAAAGGAAUUGACGGGGGCCCGCACAAGCGGUGGAGCAUGUGGUUUAAUUCGAUGCAACGCGAAGAACCUUACCUGGACUUGACAUGCUGGUGGUAGAAUCCUGAAAGGGAGACGACGGUCGCAAGAUCGAGCCAGCACAGGUGCUGCAUGCCUGUCGUCAGCUCGUGCCGUGAGGUGUUGGGUUAAGUCCCGCAACGAGCGCAACCCCUGUGGUUAGUUGCCCUUAUUCAGUUAGGCACUCUAGCCAGACUGCCUGUGAUAAGCAGGAGGAAGGUGGGGAUGACGUCAAGUCAGUAUGGUCCUUAUGUCCAGGGCUGCACACGUGCUACAAUGACCAGCACAGAAGGAAGCAAUACCGCGAGGUGGAGCUAAUCCCCAAAACUGGUCUCAGUUCGGAUUGGAGUCUGCAACCCGACUCCAUGAAGCUGGAAUCGCUAGUAACGGCGCAUCAGCUACGGCGCCGUGAAUACGUUCCCGGGUC
Molecule: ribosomal RNA, 1307 nt
Filed under: uncultured bacterium
Lineage: Bacteria
Description: bacterial SSU rRNA
Rfam family: Bacterial small subunit ribosomal RNA
Source: RNAcentral